This 1265-nucleotide ribosomal RNA is filed under the name Mycobacterium sp. RNAcentral's name for it is "bacterial SSU rRNA". It matches the Rfam family "Bacterial small subunit ribosomal RNA", at positions 56 to 1336 of the family's 1533-position model. The record is from RNAcentral. Lineage: Bacteria; Bacillati; Actinomycetota; Actinomycetes; Mycobacteriales; Mycobacteriaceae.
UGCAGUCGAACGGAAAGGCCCCUUCGGGGGUGCUCGAGUGGCGAACGGGUGAGUAACACGUGGGUGAUCUGCCCUGCACUUUGGGAUAAGCCUGGGAAACUGGGUCUAAUACCGAAUAUGAUCACGGGCUUCAUGGUCUGUGGUGGAAAGCUUUUGCGGUGUGGGAUGGGCCCGCGGCCUAUCAGCUUGUUGGUGGGGUAAUGGCCUACCAAGGCGACGACGGGUAGCCGGCCUGAGAGGGUGUCCGGCCACACUGGGACUGAGAUACGGCCCAGACUCCUACGGGAGGCAGCAGUGGGGAAUAUUGCACAAUGGGCGCAAGCCUGAUGCAGCGACGCCGCGUGAGGGAUGACGGCCUUCGGGUUGUAAACCUCUUUCAGCAGGGACGAAGCGCAAGUGACGGUACCUGUAGAAGAAGCACCGGCCAACUACGUGCCAGCAGCCGCGGUAAUACGUAGGGUGCGAGCGUUGUCCGGAAUUACUGGGCGUAAAGAGCUCGUAGGUGGUUUGUCGCGUUGUUCGUGAAAACUCACAGCUUAACUGUGGGCGUGCGGGCGAUACGGGCAGACUGGAGUACUGCAGGGGAGACUGGAAUUCCUGGUGUAGCGGUGGAAUGCGCAGAUAUCAGGAGGAACACCGGUGGCGAAGGCGGGUCUCUGGGCAGUAACUGACGCUGAGGAGCGAAAGCGUGGGGAGCGAACAGGAUUAGAUACCCUGGUAGUCCACGCCGUAAACGGUGGGUACUAGGUGUGGGUUUCCUUCCUUGGGAUCCGUGCCGUAGCUAACGCAUUAAGUACCCCGCCUGGGGAGUACGGCCGCAAGGCUAAAACUCAAAGAAAUUGACGGGGGCCCGCACAAGCGGCGGAGCAUGUGGAUUAAUUCGAUGCAACGCGAAGAACCUUACCUGGGUUUGACAUGCACAGGACGCCGGCAGAGAUGUCGGUUCCCUUGUGGCCUGUGUGCAGGUGGUGCAUGGCUGUCGUCAGCUCGUGUCGUGAGAUGUUGGGUUAAGUCCCGCAACGAGCGCAACCCUUGUCUCAUGUUGCCAGCACGUUAUGGUGGGGACUCGUGAGAGACUGCCGGGGUCAACUCGGAGGAAGGUGGGGAUGACGUCAAGUCAUCAUGCCCCUUAUGUCCAGGGCUUCACACAUGCUACAAUGGCCGGUACAAAGGGCUGCGAUGCCGUGAGGUGGAGCGAAUCCUUUCAAAGCCGGUCUCAGUUCGGAUCGGGGUCUGCAACUCGACCCCGUGAAGUCGGAGUCGCU